GCCCUGCGGCCCGCUGCCGCCUCUCCCGUGCCGCGCCGCCCCGCCGGGAGGGCGAGGGGCGGCGGAGGCCGCGCGCGGCGGCGGCACUCACAGGUCCAGGAGGAGCCGGACCUCGCCGCCGGCGCCGUCCCAACCGCCGCUGAGGCGGCUCAUGGCGGCCAAGCGCGGCGCCGCCGCCGCUGCUGCUGCGGCCCGGGCGCGGCGGGAGGCAGCGCCGAAAUGGCGGCGGCGCCUCCUCGAGCCGGAGGCAUCACGGGAGCCGUAGGCGCGGCGCCAUCGCGGGAGCCUGGCGGGCGCCGGGCGGGGAGCGGUUGAGGCACCUCCUAGAUACCACGAGAAGAUGCACCAGUAAAACCUCAGACUCUAACUGGCAAUUCUGGAAGAGCUUGAAAACACAGAAUCACAGGAAGCUGAAAGUUGAAGAAAACUCUGGGGACCUUCUAGUCCAAUCCUCCUGCUCAAAGCAGGGUCAACUGGAGCAGUCAAAACCUGACUGGACGUGGUCCUGGAUAAUCUAUCUCCCGGAAUGGAAACUCCACCAUCUCUUUGGUCACCUGUUACAGUAUUCCGCCAUCCUCACAGAGGAAAAAUAGAAAGGUUGAAAUACAAAAAAUUCCAUUAAAAAUGCAAGUUGUG
Rhea pennata is the source of this 636-nucleotide long non-coding RNA. RefSeq lists it as uncharacterized. The record is from RefSeq and is a predicted model, not a curated record. NCBI's taxonomy places the organism in Eukaryota, Metazoa, Chordata, Aves, Rheiformes, Rheidae. The transcript is spliced from 2 exons.